This 74-nucleotide transfer RNA is filed under the name Salmo salar (Atlantic salmon). It matches the Rfam family "tRNA". Rfam says of the family: Transfer RNA (tRNA) molecules are approximately 80 nucleotides in length. Their secondary structure includes four short double-helical elements and three loops (D, anti-codon, and T loops). Further hydrogen bonds mediate the characteristic L-shaped molecular structure. tRNAs have two regions of fundamental functional importance: the anti-codon, which is responsible for specific mRNA codon recognition, and the 3' end, to which the tRNAs corresponding amino acid is attached (by aminoacyl-tRNA synthetases). tRNAs cope with the degeneracy of the genetic code in two manners: having more than one tRNA (with a specific anti-codon) for a particular amino acid; and 'wobble' base-pairing, i.e. permitting non-standard base-pairing at the 3rd anti-codon position. Lineage: Eukaryota; Metazoa; Chordata; Actinopteri; Salmoniformes; Salmonidae. The record is from Rfam by way of RNAcentral.
GUCCUGAUGGCUCAGUGGGCUGGAGCCUAGUUCUGACAGCAUUAAGGUUGUGGGUUAAAUUCCUGCUUGGGGCU